This 492-nucleotide ribosomal RNA is filed under the name uncultured bacterium. RNAcentral describes it as "partial 16S ribosomal RNA". It matches the Rfam family "Bacterial small subunit ribosomal RNA", at positions 29 to 507 of the family's 1533-position model. The record is from RNAcentral.
AGUGAACGCUGGCGGUAGGCCUAACACAUGCAAGUCGAACGGCAGCACAGUAAGAGCUUGCUCUUACGGGUGGCGAGUGGCGGACGGGUGAGGAAUACAUCGGAAUCUACUUUUUCGUGGGGGAUAACGUAGGGAAACUUACGCUAAUACCGCAUACGACCUACGGGUGAAAGCAGGGGAUCUUCGGACCUUGCGCGAUUGAAUGAGCCGAUGUCGGAUUAGCUAGUUGGCGGGGUAAAGGCCCACCAAGGCGACGAUCCGUAGCUGGUCUGAGAGGAUGGUCCGCCACACUAGAACUGAGACAGGGUCCAGACUCCUACGGGAGGCAGCAGUGGGGAAUAUUGGACAAAGGGCGCAAGCCUGAUACAGCCAUACCGCGUGGGUGAAGAAGGCCUUCGGGUUGUAAAGCCCUUUUGUUGGGAAAGAAAAGCAGCAGGUUAAUACCCCGCUGUUCUGACGGUACCCAAAGAAUAAGCACCGGCUAACUUCGUG